Non-coding RNA from Phrynosoma platyrhinos (Desert horned lizard), 74 nucleotides. The record is from the annotation of a GenBank genome assembly. Lineage: Eukaryota; Metazoa; Chordata; Lepidosauria; Squamata; Phrynosomatidae.
ACCAGUGUGGCGUAGUGGUUUGAGCGUUGGCCUAUAACUCUGGAGACCAGGGUUCAAAUCCCCAGCAAAUGAUG